Molecule: ribosomal RNA, 463 nt
Filed under: uncultured bacterium
Lineage: Bacteria
Description: partial 16S ribosomal RNA
Rfam family: Bacterial small subunit ribosomal RNA
Source: RNAcentral
GAUGAACGCUGACAGAAUGCUUAACACAUGCAAGUCUUUGGUGAAGCUGUGCUUGCACAGCCUAGCCAAGGCGGACGGGUGAGUAACGCGUAAGGAACUUGCCCUGCAGUCAGGGAUAACAGACGGAAACGACUGAUAAGACCUGGUAAAGUCAGGCGGACUCAUGUCCAGCCUGAUGAAAAGAGAUGCUGCAGGAGAGCCUUGCGUCCUAUUAGCUUGUUGGUGGGGUAACGGCCCACCAAGGCAAUGAUAGGUAGCCGGCCUGAGAGGGUGGACGGCCACAAGGGGACUGAGAUACGGCCCUUACGCCUACGGGAGGCAGCAGUGGGGAAUAUUGGAAAAUGGGGGCAACCCUGAUCCAGCAAUUCUGUGUGCAGGAUGAAGGUUUUCGGAUUGUAAAGUGCUUUCAGCAGGGAAGAAAAAAAUGACGGUACCUGCAGAAGAAGCGACGGCUAAAUACGUG